RNAcentral lists this ribosomal RNA (471 nucleotides) under uncultured bacterium. RNAcentral describes it as "bacterial SSU rRNA". It matches the Rfam family "Bacterial small subunit ribosomal RNA", at positions 335 to 796 of the family's 1533-position model. The record is from RNAcentral.
ACUCCUACGGGAGGCAGCAGUCGGGAAUAUUGGACAAUGGGCGAAAGCCUGAUCCAGCAAUGCCGCGUGUGUGAAGAAGGCCUGCGGGUUGUAAAGCACUUUCAGCAGGGAAGAUGGCGUCCGGCGUUAAUAGCGUCGGGGGUUGACGUUACCUGCAGAAGAAGCACCGGCUAACUCCGUGCCAGCAGCCGCGGUAAUACGGAGGGUGCAAGCGUUAAUCGGAAUUACUGGGCGUAAAGUGCGCGUAGGCGGUUGAGUGAGUCGGAUGUGAAAGCCCCGGGCUUAACCUGGGAACUGCAUUCGAUACUGCUUGACUUGAGUGCAGUAGAGGAGAGUGGAAUUUCCGGUGUAGCGGUGAAAUGCGUAGAUAUCGGAAGGAACACCAGUGGCGAAGGCGACUCUCUGGACUGACACUGACGCUGACAGCGCGAAAGCGUGGGGAGCAAACAGGAUUAGAAACCCCAGUAGUCC